RNAcentral lists this ribosomal RNA (301 nucleotides) under uncultured bacterium. RNAcentral describes it as "partial 16S ribosomal RNA". It matches the Rfam family "Bacterial small subunit ribosomal RNA", at positions 509 to 807 of the family's 1533-position model. The record is from RNAcentral.
CAGUCGCCGCGGUAAUACAUAGGGUGCGAGCGUUAAUCGGAUUUACUGGGCGUAAAGCGUGCGUAGGCGGCUUCUUAAGUCGGAUGUGAAAUCCCUGAGCUUAACUUAGGAAUUGCAUUCGAUACUGGGAAGCUAGAGUAUGGGAGAGGAUGGUAGAAUUCCAGGUGUAGCGGUGAAAUGCGUAGAGAUCUGGAGGAAUACCGAUGGCGAAGGCAGCCAUCUGGCCUAAUACUGACGCUGAGGUACGAAAGCAUGGGGAGCAAACAGGAUUAGAUACCCCCGUAGUCCCUGUCUCUUAUAC